UGGCAAUUGUUCCUCGUGCAGUCCUUUCAGUAACUGCAAGAUUUCAAAUUGCCAUAGAGCAAAUAUGGAUUGCUUCACCCAGAAUUGUUCUGUGUGUAACACUGUUUGGCUUUGCGGAUCCAUAAUU
This is a small nucleolar RNA of Schistocerca piceifrons (Central American locust), 127 nucleotides long. RefSeq annotates it as small nucleolar RNA SNORA79. The record is from RefSeq and is a predicted model, not a curated record. Lineage: Eukaryota; Metazoa; Arthropoda; Insecta; Orthoptera; Acrididae. The transcript has a single exon.